Molecule: ribosomal RNA, 503 nt
Filed under: uncultured bacterium
Lineage: Bacteria
Description: bacterial SSU rRNA
Rfam family: Bacterial small subunit ribosomal RNA
Source: RNAcentral
AGCGAACGUUUGCGGCGGGCUUAACACAUGCAAGUCGAACGGGCUGUUCCUUCGGGGGCAGUCAGUGGCGCACGGGUGCGUAACACGUAGGUAAUCAACCCUCUGGUUGGGGAUAACACUUCGAAAGGAGUGCUAAUACCCGGUAUGGCGCAGCGGUCUUCGGAUCGCGGCGAGAAAGACCCGCAAGGGUUGCCAGAGGACGAGCCUGCGGCCCAUCAGCUAGUUGGCGAGGUAACGGCUCACCAAGGCGACGAUCUGUAGCGGGUCUGAGAGGAUGAUCCGCCACACUGGAACUGAGACACGGUCCAGACUCCUACGGGAGGCAGCAGUGGGGAAUAUUGGACAAUGGGGGAAACCCUGAUCCAGCGACGCCGCGUGUGUGAAGAAGGCCUGCGGGUUGUAAAGCACUUUCGGUGGGAACGAAUAUGCCGGGCCGAAUACCCCGGUAGGCUGACGUUACCCAAUGAAGAAGCACCGGCUAACUCUGUGCCAGCAGCCGCGGU